This 492-nucleotide ribosomal RNA is filed under the name uncultured bacterium. RNAcentral describes it as "partial 16S ribosomal RNA". It matches the Rfam family "Bacterial small subunit ribosomal RNA", at positions 29 to 507 of the family's 1533-position model. The record is from RNAcentral.
AGUGAACGCUGGCGGUAGGCCUAACACAUGCAAGUCGAACGGCAGCACAGUAAGAGCUUGCUCUUACGGGUGGCGAGUGGCGGACGGGUGAGGAAUACAUCGGAAUCUACUUUUUCGUGGGGGAUAACGUAGGGAAAUUUACGCUAAUACCGCAUACGACCUACGGGUGAAAGCAGGGGAUCUUCGGACCUUGCGCGAUUGAAUGAGCCGAUGUCGGAUUAGCUAGUUGGCGGGGGAAAGGCCCACCAAGGCGACGAUCCGUAGCUGGUCUGAGAGGAUGAUCAGCCACACUGGAACUGAGACACGGUCCAGACUCCUACGGGAGGCAGCAGUGGGGAAUAUUGGACAAUGGGCGCAAGCCUGAUCCAGCCAUACCGCGUGGGUGAAGAAGGCCUUCGGGUUGUAAAGCCCUUUUGUUGGGAAAGAAAAGCAGCAGGUUAAUACCCCGCUGUUCUGACGGUACCCAAAGAAUAAGCACCGGCUAACUUCGUG